CUCAGUCUCCAUCUCCUCCACAUACAAGCGACAGUU
RNAcentral lists this small RNA (36 nucleotides) under Arabidopsis thaliana (thale cress). Its description in RNAcentral is "ATSL245030". The record is from RNAcentral. Lineage: Eukaryota; Viridiplantae; Streptophyta; Magnoliopsida; Brassicales; Brassicaceae.